This 69-nucleotide transfer RNA is filed under the name Brachyserphus abruptus. RNAcentral describes it as "tRNA-Glu". The record is from RNAcentral. Lineage: Eukaryota; Metazoa; Arthropoda; Insecta; Hymenoptera; Proctotrupidae.
AUUUAUAUAAUUUAAAAUCAAAAUAUUAUAUUUUCAAUAUAAAAAUAAUAAUUUAAUUAUUUAUAAAUU